AGAAUCUCUUGUCUAAUUUAUUAUACUCUCUGACAAAUUCAUGUUAGUUAGAAAAUAGUUAGAAAAAAAAUAAUAAUACAAAAUUUAUAAUAAUAGCCUAUGGUGUUGCCAGUUAACGAAGGUGUGUCUAUCAGCCUUUCAGAGAGAAAGGGGACAUCGCGCGCACAAAUCAAGUGAAUGAUAACUCCAACCCAGGGUGACGUGCAAAUACUAUAAAUCUAUAGUUUGGAGGGGAAGUCCCGUUCGGACAGUUACCUCGUGAUGUAGGUGAUCUCAACUAAAAAUGAAAAAAAAUGAAGACAAUCCAUUAAUGAUACUGUCAGAAAACACUGUAGGAGAUGUGUAAUAAACUUAUAAUGCUUAAAUCAAGGAAUCGGAAUUAUUUACACCCGUGAACCAUACUCCUGGUUUUGUUUUAAAGAGCCAUUUUAAAGAAACUCUCGAAGUAUUUAAUUUUACAGGGACUCGUUUGAAAGAAAACUAUAUCUUAUAUAAUUAAACAUACAUUAUGCAAGAGCUAAAUCUGCCUAUUGCAGGUAUUUCUUUAGGCCUGAAAUGUUAUCUAAAUUAUUAAUUAGACAUUAAUUAACCUAUUCAGACCAUAAUCAACUCUAGAUGGCAUCGCUAGCCUGCGAUCGUAAGUGGAUGUUGAGCCGAUUUACUGCAUAACCUUCCUUUACGAUUUAACGAUUAAAUGGAUAAUCGAGACUAUGCAGUUUAUCGUACUGACUUUAGUAAUAAUGAUAGAGGCUAGGCGGAAAUUUCAAAUGCUUAGUUCUCGGUUCAUAACUUCAUAGUGGAUCAAUUUAAAUGAAAUUUUCAGAAAAUUGCCAUUACAUUAUCUAGUUUUUAACUAUUAUAGUGAGAACUGCCAACUCGUUAUCGAAUCUGCCAUAAUGUAUCUUUAAAUAUUAAUUUCAAUACCAGUGAGCUGUUGUGUUGAACUGUGAAAUGAGAACAUUAAAGUGGUAGCCUACCAUGUCCGUUCCCUUUUAAUUAAAAGUUAUUUAUAAUCUAACCGAAUUCGACCGUAUUAAUAAUAGGGACUAAGGGUCAAGGUAGGCCAUAAUAUCUUCGUAGUGAGACCGAUAUUGCCGCUUCUGUAAAGCAAAUAGGCUACUCACGAAUAGGCCUAUGGAACGUCGGGUGUAAACAUCAAGGCCACCUGGAGAUUUCGUCAUGGUCAUGAGAUGUAAACACUACGGGUCAGGCAAUUCUCUAUAUAAAACCAAUCCAAAGGAAUUUGGAUAUAUCUCCUGUAGAAACUCAAGAGGUAAAUAUCUUUUGACAAAAUAUUUAUUGUUAUCAACAUGAACAUUUGCAUGAAAAUUUACUCUUUCAUUACUACUGCACAACUUACACUUUAUGAUAAGAAUUAGCGGUACGAGUUCAUCUUGAAAUACAAAAAUAUGCUUACGUUGACAACCAUUUUCUGUAAGUCUAAUGGAGAAUGCAAAACAGAAGUCUGUUUCGACUGUGGUGAAGACAUUCCAUUAAGUCGUAUGAGAAUGCAUAUGGAAGAGAUGCAUGAGGUGAAAUUUUUAGUUGCAAACCUUUUGUACCAAAUGAAUGAUUCUGAUCUUUUCAUAUCAUAUUAAACACCUAUCUUUAAACCUGUCAGGGGACAGCUGUCUAGUCGUUCGGAUGGGACGAAAGACCGAGGUCCCGUGUACACAUUGGCGUGCACGUAAAAGAUCCUAUGGCAGUUGGAAUUCGAUAUAAGAGUAGGCCGUAGCGCCGCUGUCCAAGCAAAAUUUCACUCAUAGCACACUGUUUGGCGUAUGCCCGUCUUCAUUAGCCCAGGUUAGGAGCAAAACAGUAGGACGUUAACCCCAUUGCAUUUUUUCUUUGUGUUUUCCCAAUUGUGCAGUUAUUAUCUUUAGAACACGGAUAAUGAUUCUAUUCUAUUAUCAUUUGAUUCCUAACUUUGCUGAUUAUUUUCUGAAUUCUAAUCGAUUAGCAGAUUGAUGUACAUUUAAAUUAUACGAUCAGUAAAAUCCCCGAGAGGCAUAGAAGUAAAAUUCAGUUAUGAUUUAAUUUACUUAGGAAGAACUUCCAGUUAUAAAAAAGAAGAAAAGAAACAGUACACCUUUGCAUGUCAAAUAGAGGUGUAAGUUGGAAGAGUGUCCUAUUUGUUUCUGCUCUUUUCCACUGGAUAAGAUAUCUGUCCAUUCUUCAGAAUGUAGUGUUGUGUGUGAUGAAAUAACCACUGAGCAAAUUCAUCCAAGAUUUGAAACAUUAAAAGAUGAAAUGGAAAAUAAAAGAAAUCAAUUAAUGUCAGAAGAUAUGUGGGUUAUUUCGGUCUUAAGAAAAUCUUUCAAAGAAACCUCAUCUGAUCAGAUGCAAGAAGCUUCAGAAAAAGAAUGGGAAAGAUCGUUAAAAGCAAAAUUCAUUGGAGAAGAAGGUGUCGAUU
Molecule: long non-coding RNA, 2413 nt
Organism: Patella vulgata (common limpet)
Lineage: Eukaryota; Metazoa; Mollusca; Gastropoda; Patellidae
Exons: 3
Source: RefSeq, a predicted model, not a curated record